GACGAAUCUCAGAUUUAUCAAGUUAUAGUUCUUGCAGUGCAAAAGGCAAAAGAAGGGAAAUAUAAAAGAGCUCUACAUAUGUACCAUUUUACAAGAAUUUUUCUAUGCAGGCUGUCAACGUUGUUUUAGGGACUGCACCAAUGACUGUAUCUUUCUUCUCUCCAUCCUUGAAAAUCAUGACGGUUGGGAUACUUCGAAUCCCAUAUCUGGUCGCGAUGCCAGGACUUUCAUCCGUGUUCACCUUGAAGAAUUUAAACUUGUCAGCAAAUUCCUGUGAUAGUUCAUCAAUAACCGGGUGAAUCAUUCUGCAUGGACCACACCAUGGAGCCCAAAAUUCAACCAGAACAGGUAACUUAGACCCGAUUACAAGAGUCUCCCAUGAUUGAUCAUUAACACCAGGCACUAGAACAGCAGUAUCCUGAGCCUCACAGACGAUUCUUCCUCCUCUACUGGGAACAGAUUUUGUAAAUGAGCUAAAGGAUACUGAUGAACGAGUCGACUGGAUCUUAAGACCAUUGAAUAGAGAGAAUUUAACAGAAGACCGGCGACCGGAAACAGGAGACAACGACGGCGAAGCAGCGGCGGCGGCGGCCCGAGGAACUGCGAUAGUUUCCAGCAAACCAGCCAUAGCAGGGUUGAUAAAUUUGUGUGGCUGAGUAGAAU
Molecule: unclassified non-coding RNA, 663 nt
Filed under: Hevea brasiliensis (rubber tree)
Lineage: Eukaryota; Viridiplantae; Streptophyta; Magnoliopsida; Malpighiales; Euphorbiaceae
Source: RNAcentral